GGUGCUGGACCUGCGAGUCAAGAGGGAGGAGGAAGAUGGGCCGGCGGAGCCAGGGAGGAGGGAACAUCCCUUUGGGCACAGGCACCUCCCUGUAAUCAGGGCUCAGGUGGGGCACGAGCAUCCCUGGCCCUUGUGGGCCUCCUGCUUCCCUGGAGCUGAGCAGCCGCCCCGUAAGCGGGGCUGGGGUGCCUGCUCUUCUGGCCUUUGGCCACCAGGCUCCGCUGGCUGGCUGGCUGGCUGUUUGGCUGCCUUGUGUGCUGCUGAGAGAGUGUGUUUGCUGAUGCUCGUGCAUUUUGGGGGAGCCGUUUUGUGCCAGCAGCCCCUCGAGCUCCCUGUAGCCAGGGCUGAGGACCCAGGGCCCUGGUGCCCCGCUGCUGGCCCCCUGGAAGCGGGCUUUGUGCCGCAAGGCUCUCCUGGAUGGGAGCUGCGGAGCCUUUGGAGCCCCCGAGCCGACCCUGCUGUGAGGGUUUGGCGCUCUGCCUGGCGGCUUCAUGCCGUGUUGGCCAGCCAGCCAGCCUGGCAGCCCCGUCAUCGGGGUGCAUGCCGUGGGGCGCCACUGCUCCCCAGAGAGAGGCGGGGUGCCCUUUGCUGGACGGAGCCGCGGGGACAGCCCUGUAAGUUGGGGUGAGGAAAGUCCCCUGCUUUGCCCUUGGGGCUGUUGUAGCAAGCGGGCCAGGAGGAGAACCCUCUAAGGAGGGCAGAAGCUUUUUCCUGGGGCUGCUCCCUCCCUUCCACCCCUAGAAACUGUGCCCAGAGGCCCAGACCUCCGCGGCCAAGGUGGCGUCCGCCGGCCCGAGCCAGGGCUUCAGCCGCGGCUGCUGAGCAGCUCGCAAAGAAGAAAGCAAGGCAGAAGAGGACGGCGCUGGACCUGCGAGUCAAGAGGGAGGAGGAAGAUGGGCCGGCGGAGCCAGGGAGGAGGGAACAUCCCUUUGGGCACAGGCACCUCCCUGUAAUCAGGGCUCAGGUGGGGCACGAGCAUCCCUGGCCCUUGUGGGCCUCCUGCUUCCCUGGAGCUGAGCAGCCGCCCCGUAAGCGGGGCUGGGGUGCCUGCUCUUCUGGCCUUUGGCCACCAGGCUCCGCUGGCUGGCUGGCUGGCUGUUUGGCUGCCUUGUGUGCUGCUGAGAGAGUGUGUUUGCUGAUGCUCGUGCAUUUUGGGGGAGCCGUUUUGUGCCAGCAGCCCCUCGAGCUCCCUGUAGCCAGGGCUGAGGACCCAGGGCCCUGGUGCCCCGCUGCUGGCCCCCUGGAAGCGGGCUUUGUGCCGCAAGGCUCUCCUGGAUGGGAGCUGCGGAGCCUUUGGAGCCCCCGAGCCGACCCUGCUGUGAGGGUUUGGCGCUCUGCCUGGCGGCUUCAUGCCGUGUUGGCCAGCCAGCCAGCCUGGCAGCCCCGUCAUCGGGGUGCAUGCCGUGGGGCGCCACUGCUCCCCAGAGAGAGGCGGGGUGCCCUUUGCUGGACGGAGCCGCGGGGACAGCCCUGUAAGUUGGGGUGAGGAAAGUCCCCUGCUUUGCCCUUGGGGCUGUUGUAGCAAGCGGGCCAGGAGGAGAACCCUCUAAGGAGGGCAGAAGCUUUUUCCUGGGGCUGCUCCCUCCCUUCCACCCCUAGAAACUGUGCCCAGAGGCCCAGACCUCCGCGGCCAAGGUGGCGUCCGCCGGCCCGAGCCAGGGCUUCAGCCGCGGCUGCUGAGCAGCUCGCAAAGAAGAAAGCAAGGCAGAAGAGGACGGC
Tyto alba (common barn owl) is the source of this 1719-nucleotide long non-coding RNA. RefSeq lists it as uncharacterized. The transcript has 3 exons. Lineage: Eukaryota; Metazoa; Chordata; Aves; Strigiformes; Tytonidae. The record is from RefSeq and is a predicted model, not a curated record.